CAUAGGGUUUUGUUUUUCUCUUUCUUUUUUCCAAGUUGAAAACUUGAUCACCUUGUGGUCAUUACCACCAUCACCAUGAUCAUCUCUUGCUCCACCACUUGGCAUGUACCAACCUCAUCUAAUCUAUACACUCACUUAGCAUAGAGGUUAGUACUUUGGGUUUCAUCAAUUAUCCAAAACCAAACAUGGGCUUUCAACCGGCCUAGCCAGUUUGGGAACUAGGUAGGCUGAUUUGUCUGUAUGAGUCUG
RNAcentral lists this long non-coding RNA (249 nucleotides) under Sorghum bicolor (sorghum). Its description in RNAcentral is "long non-coding RNA (SBIC_LNC007072)". Lineage: Eukaryota; Viridiplantae; Streptophyta; Magnoliopsida; Poales; Poaceae. The record is from RNAcentral.